CCUACGGGCGGCUGCAGUGGGGAAUAUUGGACAAUGGGCGAAAGCCUGAUCCAGCCAUGCCGCGUGUGUGAAGAAGGCCUUCGGGUUGUAAAGCACUUUCAGUGGGGAAGAAAGCCUUGGGGCUAAUACCCUCGAGGAAGGACAUCACCCACAGAAGAAGCACCGGCUAACUCCGUGCCAGCAGCCGCGGUAAUACGGAGGGUGCGAGCGUUAAUCGGAAUUACUGGGCGUAAAGCGCGCGUAGGCGGUCUGAUAAGCCGGUUGUGAAAGCCCCGGGCUCAACCUGGGAACGGCAUCCGGAACUGUCAGGCUAGAGUGCAGGAGAGGAAGGUAGAAUUCCCGGUGUAGCGGUGAAAUGCGUAGAGAUCGGGAGGAAUACCAGUGGCGAAGGCGGCCUUCUGGACUGACACUGACGCUGAGGUGCGAAAGCGUGGGUAGCAAACAGGAGUAGAUACCCCAGUAGUC
Molecule: ribosomal RNA, 465 nt
Filed under: Vreelandella stevensii
Lineage: Bacteria; Pseudomonadati; Pseudomonadota; Gammaproteobacteria; Oceanospirillales; Halomonadaceae
Description: partial 16S ribosomal RNA
Rfam family: Bacterial small subunit ribosomal RNA
Source: RNAcentral